Molecule: ribosomal RNA, 559 nt
Filed under: Dactylosporangium sp. 434D06
Lineage: Bacteria; Bacillati; Actinomycetota; Actinomycetes; Micromonosporales; Micromonosporaceae
Description: bacterial SSU rRNA
Rfam family: Bacterial small subunit ribosomal RNA
Source: RNAcentral
GAGCGGCGAACGGGUGAGUAACACGUGAGUAACCUGCCCUAGGCUUUGGGAUAACCCUCGGAAACGGGGGCUAAUACCGGAUAUUCAUGCUGGACGGCAUCGUCUGGUGUGGAAAGUUUUUCGGCCUGGGAUGGGCUCGCGGCCUAUCAGCUUGUUGGUGGGGUGAUGGCCUACCAAGGCGACGACGGGUAGCCGGCCUGAGAGGGCGACCGGCCACACUGGGACUGAGACACGGCCCAGACUCCUACGGGAGGCAGCAGUGGGGAAUAUUGCACAAUGGGCGGAAGCCUGAUGCAGCGACGCCGCGUGAGGGAUGAAGGCCUUCGGGUUGUAAACCUCUUUCGACAGGGACGAAGCGCGAGUGACGGUACCUGGAGAAGAAGCGCCGGCCAACUACGUGCCAGCAGCCGCGGUAAGACGUAGGGCGCGAGCGUUGUCCGGAUUUAUUGGGCGUAAAGAGCUCGUAGGCNGGCUUGUUGCGUCAGCUGUGAAAACCCGCAGCUCAACUGUGGGCUUGCAGCUGAUACGGGCAGGCUUGAGUUCGGUAGGGGAGACUGGA